RNAcentral lists this non-coding RNA (113 nucleotides) under human gut metagenome. RNAcentral's name for it is "FMN riboswitch (RFN element)". It matches the Rfam family "FMN riboswitch aptamer (RFN element)". From Rfam's summary of the family: The RFN element is a highly conserved domain that is found frequently in the 5'-untranslated regions of prokaryotic mRNAs that encode for flavin mononucleotide (FMN) biosynthesis and transport proteins. This element is a metabolite-dependent riboswitch that directly binds FMN in the absence of proteins. In Bacillus subtilis, the riboswitch most likely controls gene expression by causing premature transcription termination within the 5' untranslated region of the ribDEAHT operon and precluding access to the ribosome-binding site of ypaA mRNA. RNAcentral also lists the same sequence under 1 other name. The record is from RNAcentral.
UGUCUUCAGGGCAAGGUGAAAUUCCUUUCCGGCGGUGAUAGUCCGCGACUUCCUUAUGGAACUGAUUCGGUGAAAUUCCGAAACCGACGGUGAUAGUCCGGAUGAGAGAAGAC